UCUGAAACUAUUUCUCUCUCUCUCUCCACAAAUCUUUGCAUAUUUGUUUUUGCUCAUCUCAUGGGUGGUCUUGGUGGACUGGGUAAAGUUAUGGUCGGAGGACACAGCCUGGCCUUGAAUCAUCGGAGGAAGGCGAAGAAGAUGGUGGCUACGGUAUAUGGUGAGUUCACCCCGAUGGUCGGAGAUCGGUGAUAGAGGAGAGAUUCCUCCAGAUCCACUGUCAAUCUCCUCCAGAAUUUUCGUUAUACUUUUCUCUGUUCUCUGUGAGGACGACCAAUGCUCGAUCUAUGGGUUUUGGCCUUCCAGGAUCUGAUUGGGUGGGGUUUUGAAUCCCUAAUUCGUCAUCUCAGCCCUAGUUUCUCAUAAAUGUCUGUGAUUUAUGAGGUAUCUUGGUGAGUUAUUUGCUUCUUAUUAUUUCUCUUGUUCCGAUUAUUGCUGCAUUUUUUGUAUGUAUGUUGUUCAUGUUUAUUAGCCGUUGUUUGGAUUUAGCUGAAAAAUACAUGUAUUAGUGUUAAGGUGUUAAUUUGGUGUGGAUUGCUCUGAAUUUAUUCUUUGUUAAGAUAGAAUUGUGCUUUGUGAAAAUUGUGAUUUUACCUGUUGUCUACUACAAACCCAAGUUUGUUUCUUGGUGUUUAAACCCUUAGCCUUAAAGAGUAUAUUCCAGGUUUUAGUGUGUUAUGUUUGUGAGGGCUCUGAUUGUUUUGUGCAUUCUGGAAUAAUAUAGGUCAGUUUGACACAAUGAAGGAGAACGGUAGGUCAUAAGAUCGACCGUAUAAAAUUCUGGAGGUGAAGACAUGCUUUCCACCUCUGUCAUAAUUCUUUCCAAUAAUUCAGCAUCAAUCCUCUUAUUAUUACUAAGAUCCAAAUUCAGCAUCAAUCCUCUUAUUAUUAGUAAGAUCCAACACCAUCCGUACAUAUAGCUUCUAGAGCCUAUAAAAAGUUAACAACAAUAGAAAAACUUAGAAGUGAUUGAAGAAUAGCAUGGACUGCCUAGCGUGAUAUUGAGCAGUGAACAACAUAAAGACAUUAUGGACCAUAUAUAUGAUUAUUUGCCUAAUUACUUUCUAACUACCUGCUUCUUCAUAUUUCUUUGAUGCUUAUAAGUUUUCUUUUUAUUUCAUAUGGUGUCUCUGCCAUCAUCCAGAAAAGCUAAGACUCACACAGACCACCAAGUUUAUCUCAUGUGAAAAUAUAUAUUUAUAUAUAUAUGUAACAUUUAUACUUUUUUGAGGGAAAGCACUUUCCUGAGCAACAUUUCCAACAUCUAAAGCAACAUGGCUGUAGUUCUCCCACAGUUGAUAACUGUUUCGUAUGUCACCAGUCAUAGAAAGUGUCAAUAAAUAAAAUGAAGUAAAAGGGGAGGGAUGCAACUAUAAAUAGAGAGAAUGAGUGUGUGCGUGAGUGACAGUUUGAUUAAUGGAGAAGGAACCAACUUGAACUUCAGUGCUUCUCUAAAUGCAAUGAAAGCUUCUUUACUCUUCCCUUUUAUCAUAUGCCUGCAUAAUUGGUACAACAAGAGUUUAAAGAUUGUUGAAAUGAGCUGCUAGAAUACAAAAUUAUUAAUUGUUGAGCUAAUGAGCUUUUACUUGUUUUUGGGUUCAAUUUCAAAACCCAGGUAUGAAACCCUGACUACCCACUUCAUUUCUCUACUAUUUUCCUCUAUUUCAGUUUGUGUUCUUCAAUGAAUAAGUUGGGCUGAAAAUUAUUAUAUACAAUGUAAUGUGUUUGGGUAACUUUGUCUGCUUUGCUUAUGUAGCUUCCACUAUUGAUCACAACGUAUUUGACCAACUCCAUUUCUUCCACUACUUCAUUUCUCCAUUACCAAGCUUGCGAGACAAGCACGAAAAGAAGUGAGUAUCCCUCACAUUUUAUAUAUGAUAGUAUAUUCAUUUGAGUUUGAGAUUUACAGAUGCAAUUGGUACGUAAAUAUUAAGAUUUUUACAUGUUGAGGUGAAUUCAUAAGAUCUUCUGCAAUUGGUACAUACAUAUUAAGAUCAUAAAGAAUAUGCUAAUAAGAUACUUCAAUGAGGUGAAUUCAGUUUUUGUGUAGCGCCUCUUUGUUUCGUUAUCUUUGCAUAUCUCUCUCUUAGCGAUAGAGCCACGUUGGAAUUUACUUCUAUAAUAUUUAUGUGUAUGUUAUACCAGUCAUAUGACUUGCUUGCUACUUUAAUUUGAUUCUUAUUUACGAAAUUCGCAGGUUAGAUAAUUGGCUGAUAUGGUAGAUAUGUACAAUGAAGAUCUUUACACCGUGCAUAAUAAGGAACUAUCUUGUGGUGUUAUAGCAAGUUGAGUGCUCUACAACUGCAGUUUAUUGUUUUUAACUAUUCAAAUCAGUAUUUUUUCUGAACAAAACAAAACAAUUGAAACUUGAGUACAUAGUUAAAUUCAGUCCUUUCUGACUGAAUUUUCUUGGUACCUUUUCUACCAUACUGAGAUAAUUAAUGUAUGCUCAGUUGUCAUGCCAUAUAGAUUUGCUGCUCUAAGAACUUAUNNNNNNNNNNNNNNNNNNNNAGAUUCAUUGUUAGAUUUCAAUAGCUGAAGUUCAAACUUCCCUAAUAUUCAGUCUGAUAGAUGUUAUAUAUGACCUUUUCCUUUCAGCUUUGACAAAGGUUCAUAUGUAUUUGAGAUAGUUGUGAUGUUCAAGAUGUAUAUAACACUGAUGGAAGCCAAGCAGUAGCUACUAAAGAGUCCCUAUUGCUGGUAUAGUAACAUACAAUUGAGACUUCGGUUGUGGAAGCUUUGGCUUAGUUGGUUGCACUUAGUUGGUUUUGUGUUUGUGUCAAGGAGCUAAUUGGUAAAAACAGUUAGAGUUUGAUGUGUUUGUAUUGAUAGUUUUGAUGUAAGAUUGGUAGUAAUUUUGAGAGAUUUAAUUCAGUGUAACAAUUCUUUUUCUAAUAUGUUUAAUUUCUUUUUGCACAGCUUUUGUCAAAAAAAAAAAAAANNNNNNN
This 2948-nucleotide long non-coding RNA is filed under the name Fragaria vesca (wild strawberry). RNAcentral's name for it is "long non-coding RNA (FVES_LNC000774)". Lineage: Eukaryota; Viridiplantae; Streptophyta; Magnoliopsida; Rosales; Rosaceae. The record is from RNAcentral.